Caenorhabditis elegans is the source of this 137-nucleotide non-coding RNA. The record is from Ensembl. NCBI's taxonomy places the organism in Eukaryota, Metazoa, Nematoda, Chromadorea, Rhabditida, Rhabditidae.
UGGGUGCUACAUAAUUGGCUUCACACUGCGUCGCGCAUUCCAUUUCCCUCUUAUUUUGCUUGCAGCCCUCGGACAGUGAUUAGCGACGCGGUAACUCAAUCUUCCAAUGUCCCAAACAUUUGGUCGGUCUCUCCUUU